GGCUCAGGAUGAACGCUAGCGACAGGCUUAACACAUGCAAGUCGAGGGGCAGCGGUGGUGAAGGCUUGCCUUUACCAGCCGGCGACCGGCGCACGGGUGAGUAACACGUAUGCAACCUGCCUGCCACAGCCGGAUAAUCGGGAGAAAUUCCGUCUAAUACGGCAUAAUGCAUCGACGGGACAUCCUGUUGGUGCCAAAGGUUAAUUCCGGUGGCGGAUGGGCAUGCGUCGCAUUAGUUAGUUGGCGGUGUAACGGACCACCAAGACGACGAUGCGUAGGGGUUCUGAGAGGAAGGUCCCCCACACUGGUACUGAGACACGGACCAGACUCCUACGGGAGGCAGCAGUGAGGAAUAUUGGUCAAUGGGCGGGAGCCUGAACCAGCCAAGUCGCGUGAGGGAUGACGGCCCUAUGGGUUGUAAACCUCUUUUGCCGGGGAGCAAAGUGCCGCACGUGUGCGGUUUGGAGAGUACCCGGAGAAAAAGCAUCGGCUAACUCCGUGCCAGCAGCCGCGGUA
This 516-nucleotide ribosomal RNA is filed under the name uncultured bacterium. Its description in RNAcentral is "bacterial SSU rRNA". It matches the Rfam family "Bacterial small subunit ribosomal RNA", at positions 21 to 522 of the family's 1533-position model. The record is from RNAcentral.